This 506-nucleotide ribosomal RNA is filed under the name uncultured bacterium. RNAcentral's name for it is "partial 16S ribosomal RNA". It matches the Rfam family "Bacterial small subunit ribosomal RNA", at positions 30 to 523 of the family's 1533-position model. The record is from RNAcentral.
AUUGAACGCUGGCGGCAGGCCUAACACAUGCAAGUCGAACGGUAACAGGAAACAGCUUGCUGUUUCGCUGACGAGUGGCGGACGGGUGAGUAAUGUCUGGGAAACUGCCUGAUGGAGGGGGAUAACUACUGGAAACGGUAGCUAAUACCGCAUAACGUCGCAAGACCAAAGAGGGGGACCUUCGGGCCUCUUGCCAUCGGAUGUGCCCAGAUGGGAUUAGCUAGUAGGUGGGGUAACGGCUCACCUAGGCGACGAUCCCUAGCUGGUCUGAGAGGAUGACCAGCCACACUGGAACUGAGACACGGCCCAGACUCCUACGGGAGGCAGCAGCGGGGAAUAUUGCACAAUGGGCGCAAGCCUGAUGCAGCCAUGCCGCGUGUAUGAAGAAGGCCUUCGGGUUGUAAAGUACUUUCAGCGGGGAGGAAGGGAGUAAAGUUAAUACCUUUGCUCAUUGACGUUACCCGCAGAAGAAGCACCGGCUAACUCCGUGCCAGCAGCCGCCGUAA